GGCCCGGUGGCACAGUGGUUAGGACUGCAGCUCUGCACGGAGGAGGUUGUGGGUUCGAGUCCCGGCCAGCCG
This 72-nucleotide transfer RNA is filed under the name Anguilla anguilla (European eel). Its description in RNAcentral is "tRNA-OTHER". The record is from RNAcentral. Lineage: Eukaryota; Metazoa; Chordata; Actinopteri; Anguilliformes; Anguillidae.